GUGCGUACGUACGUGCGUGUGUGUGUGUGUGUGUACGUGUGUGUGUUGCGUGUGUGUGUGUGUGUAUAGGUGCGUGUUAACGCGGCUAGGCGAGCAUAACGCAACCGUUGCCCAUGAGCGAGCGAGCGUGUGUCCGCGCGCGGGAGUGACAGCGAGGCGAGGAAUCCAUAUAGCACGCUAGCACGCUGGCUCGCUGCCGCCGUUGCUGCUGCUGCUGCUGCUGCCGCUGCGCCAUGGAUGUGUGUAGUGUAUUACACUGCGUGCCGCUACUGCCACCGUUGCUGAUGCUGAUGCUAGAAUCUACGCCACACGCGAACAGCACCGUCGACCGAUCACGUAAGAGCUGCUGCUAGCAAGCACACACGCACACACACGCACGGAGAGGCAGAGAGAGAGAGAGAGAGGCAGAGAGAGAGAGGAAGAGAGAGAGGAGGAGGGGGGAGGCGGUGAAUUCUGGGCAGCACCACAUGGUGACCCAUUUACGCGAGCUAUAAAUACGUGAGGCGUCGGACUACUACUACGUGUCGGCUGCGUCCACGAAAGAGAGAGAGAGAGAGAGAGAGAGAGAGAGGGAGAGAGAAUAGGCGCUCUGCCCCUCAGCAACCACCCUCGCACCGCCUAGCACACUGAGAGAGUGAGGGGGAGAAGGAGGUGAGGGAGAGAGAAGACUCUCUACCCCUCAGCAUCCACUCUCGCACCGCCUAGCACAGAGGGAGAGAGAGGGGGAGGAGGUGAGGGAGAGAGAACACUCUCUGCCCCUCAGCAUCCACCCUCGCAUCGCGAGAGAGAGGGGGAGAGAGGGGGAGAGAGAGGAGGAGGAGGAGGCAAGGGAGAGCAAGCUCGCUUCCCCAGCAUCCACCCUUGCAGCGCCUAGCGCACACA
Priapulus caudatus is the source of this 882-nucleotide long non-coding RNA. RefSeq lists it as uncharacterized. The record is from RefSeq and is a predicted model, not a curated record. NCBI's taxonomy places the organism in Eukaryota, Metazoa, Priapulida, Priapulimorpha, Priapulimorphida, Priapulidae. The transcript is spliced from 2 exons.